This 572-nucleotide ribosomal RNA is filed under the name uncultured soil bacterium. RNAcentral describes it as "bacterial SSU rRNA". It matches the Rfam family "Bacterial small subunit ribosomal RNA", at positions 8 to 625 of the family's 1533-position model. The record is from RNAcentral.
AGAGUUUGAUCAUGGCUCAGGAUGAACGCUGGCGGCGUGCCUAAGACAUGCAAGUCGAGUGGGUUUAGACCCACGGCGAACGGGUGAGUAAUACCUAGGAACAUCAUUAUAGUUGAGGAUAUCCCAUCGAAAGAUGGUGCAAUACUCAAUGUCAUCGCAAGAUGAAAGUCGCAAGACGCUAUAAUCGUGGCCUGGGCACCAUCAGCUAGUUGGUAAGGUAACGGCUUACCAAGGCUAUGACGGUUAGGGGCCCCGAGAAGGGAAACCCCCACACUGGGACUGCGACACGGCCCAGACUCCUACGGGAGGCAGCAGUUUGGAAUUUUGGACAAUGGGCGAAAGCCUGAUCCAGCGACGCCGCGUGGACGAAGAAGGCCUUCGGGUUGUAAAGUCCUUUUGCUCGGGAACAAUUUUUGAGCGUACCGAGAGAAUAAGAGGUUGCUAACUCUGUGCCAGCAGCAGCGGUAAUACAGAGACCUCAAGCGUUAUCCGGAAUCAUUGGGCGUAAAGCGUUCCGAUAGGUGGUUUUGCAAGUCAGAAGUGAAAACUCGAUGCUCAACAUCGAGACUGUC